AUGACACGAACACACAAGCAGGGGUACCGUCGCAAGUUGGAACACGAGGGGCUGGUCGGUGAUAGAUAUACAAGAAACCAACUUCAAGUAGCAAAUGUGGCAAAUCAAGGUUAUUAUGAUGCAACCACACCAGCAAAUGUCUCGUGGCAAGCUUCACUAUUGCAGGCCAUCGGUAAUGCAGAUACAACGCACCAAAUUGAAGUGGCACGGCAACUUCAAUUAGCACAUGUGGUGCAGCAAGGAGCUUCAACUACAAUCAACAGUGGCGAAGGAACAUCUGUUGCGGGAACCUCAGAGCAUAUUGAAGGAGCAUUCCAUGAGCAAGUCACCAAUGCUGCCACAAACAAUGCGGAAUCAGUGUCAGAAAUGGCAAUCGUUGCAGCAAUGCCGACAAGCACACCUAUGCACACCAGCACAAGCAACACUCAAGCAGAUGAAACAGCCACCAAUACUGAAGUAAAUGAUGAAACUGAUGACGAAGCGCAAGGGGAAGAAGAAGAUGGACAAUCGGAAAUCAUGAUACCUCAGCCACCAUAUCUUGGACAGAGAUUUGGUACUUUUGAAGAUGCCAAGGAGUACUACCAGAGAAAUGCGAUGUUCCAUGGAUUUGCGGUGAACACAGAAUACCAUAGGAAAAUUAAAAAACUAACGAGUAUAGCAGAGGUGAGAUAA
This 672-nucleotide ribosomal RNA is filed under the name Triticum aestivum (bread wheat). RNAcentral describes it as "partial small subunit ribosomal RNA". Lineage: Eukaryota; Viridiplantae; Streptophyta; Magnoliopsida; Poales; Poaceae. The record is from RNAcentral.